RNAcentral lists this long non-coding RNA (4737 nucleotides) under Brassica napus (rape). Its description in RNAcentral is "long non-coding RNA (BNAP_LNC003317)". Lineage: Eukaryota; Viridiplantae; Streptophyta; Magnoliopsida; Brassicales; Brassicaceae. The record is from RNAcentral.
UUUAUUGCUAAUCUUUAGCUAAUGAAUCUUACUAAUUUUCGAAACUUUUGUUCAGUGUCUUUCUCGAAGCAAACAUGAUGCAGAGACCACCUCCCGAAGACUUCUCCUUGAAGGAGACAAGACCCCACCUCGGCGGCGGCAAACUCACCGGCGACAAACUCACCAGCACCUACGACCUCGUCGAGCAAAUGCAGUACCUCUACGUCCGCGUCGUCAAGGCCAAGGAGCUCCCCGGGAAAGACCUUACCGGAAGCUGCGACCCUUACGUCGAAGUCAAGCUCGGUAACUACAAAGGCACCACGCGUCACUUCGAGAAGAAGUCAAACCCGGAGUGGAACCAAGUCUUCGCCUUCUCCAAAGACAGGAUCCAAGCCUCGUUCCUCGAAGCCACGGUUAAAGACAAGGACGUUGUGAAAGACGAUUUGAUCGGUCGCGUUGUCUUUGAUUUGAACGAGGUGCCUAAGAGAGUCCCUCCCGACAGCCCCUUGGCUCCUCAGUGGUAUAGACUCGAAGGCACUAAAGGUGAGAAAGUGAGAGGAGAGCUUAUGCUUGCUGUUUGGUUCGGUACUCAAGCUGAUGAAGCUUUUCCCGAGGCUUGGCACUCGGAUGCAGCCACAGUGAGCGGAACAGACGCUCUCGCUAACAUACGCUCAAAAGUCUAUCUCUCCCCCAAGCUAUGGUACUUGAGAGUUAACGUCAUCGAGGCUCAAGAUCUGAUACCUAGCGAUAAAGGGAGGUACCCUGAGGUCUACGUGAAGGCUAUAGUGGGAAACCAAGCGUUACGGACUAGAGUCUCUCAAAGCAGGACUAUUAACCCCAUGUGGAACGAGGAUCUGAUGUUUGUAGCAGCUGAGCCUUUCGAGGAGCCGUUGAUUUUAAGCGUUGAAGACAGAGUUGCUCCUAACAAGGACGAAGUCUUAGGGAGAUGCGCGAUCCCGUUGCAGCAUUUGGACAGGAGGUUUGACCACAGGCCGGUUAACAGCAGGUGGUUUAACUUGGAGAAGCAUAUCAUGGUGGACGGUGAGAAGAAGGAGAUCAAGUUCGCGAGCAGGAUACACAUGAGGAUAUGUUUGGAAGGAGGGUACCAUGUUCUUGAUGAGUCUACGCAUUACAGUAGCGACCUUAGACCGACGGCUAAGCAGCUCUGGAAGCCGAGCAUCGGCGUGUUGGAGGUCGGGAUACUUAAUGCCACCGGCUUGAUGCCUAUGAAGAAUAAAGAUGGACGAGGGACGACGGAUGCGUACUGUGUGGCGAAGUAUGGUCAGAAGUGGAUUCGAACGAGGACUAUUAUAGACAGCUUUACUCCGAGGUGGAACGAGCAGUACACGUGGGAGGUUUUUGAUCCGUGUACUGUCGUCACCGUUGGGGUUUUUGAUAACUGUCAUCUCCAUGGAGGUGGUGAGAAGAACGGUGGAGGAGGAGGAGGAGGGAAAGAUUCAAGAAUCGGGAAGGUGAGGAUCAGGCUCUCUACUUUAGAGACGGAUCGUGUCUACACGCACUCGUAUCCUCUUCUUGUGCUGCAUCCCAACGGAGUCAAGAAGAUGGGAGAGAUUCAUUUAGCUGUGAGGUUCACUUGCUCCUCGUUACUCAACAUGAUGUAUAUGUACUCGGUGCCUCUCUUGCCUAAGAUGCAUUACAUUCAUCCUCUGACGGUUAGCCAGCUUGAUAACCUGAGGCACCAAGCGACUCAGAUUGUGUCGAUGAGGCUGACAAGAGCGGAGCCGCCGCUGAGGAAGGAAGUGGUUGAGUACAUGCUUGAUGUUGGCUCCCACAUGUGGAGUAUGAGGAGAAGCAAAGCGAAUUUUUUCAGGAUCAUGGGUGUUUUGAGCGGGUUGAUAGCUGUUGGGAAGUGGUUUGAGCAGAUAUGUAACUGGAAGAAUCCGAUCACAACGGUGUUGAUCCAUCUCUUGUUCAUCAUCCUUGUUGUCUACCCUGAGCUGAUCUUGCCGACUAUCUUUCUUUACCUUUUUCUUAUCGGUGUAUGGUACUACCGUUGGAGACCGAGGCAUCCUCCGCACAUGGACACGCGUCUCUCACACGCUGACUCAGCUCACCCGGACGAGCUUGACGAGGAGUUUGACACAAACUAUGUAAAUUAUAACAACUAGCUACUAUCUAUGCACAACCCUUGUUUCAUAAGGUAAUAACAUAGAGCGGACAAAUGGGAACAGACAUGAUAUAGAGAUGUAUUAUUGUCCAUAUACCAAUUUUGGAUUCAUAUGUACAGUAGCUUGGUUUUGUAAACUACUUAGAAAAAGAGAGUCGUAUAUUUAUAACAACAACAACUCCGAAAGUGUUUGAUGAAUUUCCAUUUUCCAGCUAUACCCAAUCACGUAAAAUACCUAACUAGAAGGAUUCGCUUACGUGUUUAGAACCUAUAGUCCCAUCUUUAGGUUUGGUGUCAAUUGACUAGAGAGACAUAUCAUUUACACCAUUUAUUAUUUAUCACCAACAACUGAUCAAGAUCCAUAACUAUCAUAAUGGAGUACUAGAAAUUAGUCCGAAUGUUUUUAUAGUUUAGACUAAACUAAUGCAACUUGAAUUACACCGGUUUUUUCUUCUUUUUCGUGUUUUCACCUAAAGGCAUGAUGAUAACUAAUGCCGACCAUAAAGAAUAAUCAUUUAUAAAAAUCAAGCACAUGUAACGCAUAUAUGUGGAAAUUAUGAUUUCAGACAUUUAAGGUAAAAUUCGAGGAAAAACAUUUGAUUGCGACUGUUUUUCUUUACGACUGUAAUGUUGUAACCUUUUUUGUUGUUUGGUGAAGAAGUAACGAUGCAACUUAUAAUACAUUAUCCCCUUUCCAAGCAUAAUAUAAAUCUAUAUAUACUUUCUAAAGGCUUACUCUGUAGCCAGAAUACGUUUUCAGCAAAACAGAAUUACUUUUUGAUAAUUAAGAAGAGUUCAAACCGGGCUUUAAGCAUUUCUUUAGAUCUAAGACUAGCCGUUGCUAGCAUCUCGUGACAUUGGCAUAAAACAUUCUAAUCUUUUCAUCGAAAUCAAACUAAACGCACAACAGAGCUAACUUCUAUUGCUGUUGGUAAAACAUAAACUUUUACUGAAUGAAUAUGGAGAUGAAUGUAUGAUUAAACGCCAUAGGAACCGUAAAUGGAACUUUUAUCUAGCAAACGACAAAAGUAAGAGUCAGGGCCAGCCAAAGCAAAAGUACGAAUUUGUAUUGCUUAUUGUAUAGAAUGCAGAAACAUGGAGGAAUCCAAUGACUUGUGCUUCAUCUUCUACUAUUUUUUUUUGUAAAUUUUCUCAGUCUUUUUUUUUAUCACAAUUUAAUCAAAAUAAAUUUGCAUCAUACAACCAAUUACACACUCAAAAUGUACACACUAAAAACAAUAGUAUUUCCGUUAAGAAAAACAAUUCAACGAGGAUUAUUUAAGUUUAAGUUUUUCCAAUAAAGUAUUUUAUUACGGAGAACCGUUGUCUUCACACGUGUGGGAUUCAAAACGAAGAGGGUAUGUCUUGCGUGAUUUUCCAUGGACCCCACCCGUAUAUUUUUGUAGCACAACAGUGCCAUGUGUGCGUCUCUCUACUGUUUUUUUUUCUUUCUUUUUUGUAUAGUCAUCAGAUCAUAACCGAGUAUAAAAAAGGUAGAAACUGUAGAAAAAGCAAAGGAAAGAAGAAGACAACAGAAUACAACAAGAAGAGACCAAUACAAUAAAAAUAUCUCUCUCUCUCGGACUCUCCUUCCUCUUCAAUGUUAUUUCUUUCUCUCUCUAGAAAUUUCCCUUUCCCAGUAGUGCAUACCCUCUCUGCUUUUACUAGUCUUAUCUUCGUUUGUCCCUUUUAUUUAUUAGACUUUGAUUAAAACGAGGACGAACCAACAAGAGAGAAGACAUAACUCUCCUUACUCAUCAAGGACGGAGAUUUUCUCGCUCUUCUUCUCAUCCAUGAACUGCUUCUGAGUGUUGCUUUUUUUGAAGAUCUAAGGUGUUUAUUCUCAGAUCUAAACUUUUAUUACUAUUAUCUUCCCAUAACUGCUUUUACUGAUCUUUUUCUAUGGAUUUUGAGCAUUUUUUAUUUGUCGUUUUCUGUUUUUGGUAAAUAAAAAUUUUGAAGAAAAAAAGUUUAAACUCUCAAUGAAGUGAACUGGAAGAUGUUUUUUUUAAAAUAAAUGUUGGGUUGAUUCAUGAUUUUGUGCCGUUAGAUUCUGCUUCGGAGAUGCUAACGAGGUUGUGUUAUGAUCUAGAAAAUGCGAGAUGCUAUAUUCGAGUAUCUUUUUGUAAUAUUCAUUUAUUUAUCAUUUUCUUACUUUUUUAAUUCUCUUACAAUGGUGGUUUUGUGUUUCAGAUCUAGUGUUUUGAAGUGGAGCAAUAGUCUCUGUAAGUAUCAAUCUUUAUUGCUAAUCUUUAGCUAAUGAAUCUUACUAAUUUUCGAAACUUUUGUUCAGUGUCUUUCUCGAAGCAAACAUGAUGCAGAGACCACCUCCCGAAGACUUCUCCUUGAAGGAGACAAGACCCCACCUCGGCGGCGGCAAACUCACCGGCGACAAACUCACCAGCACCUACGACCUCGUCGAGCAAAUGCAGUACCUCUACGUCCGCGUCGUCAAGGCCAAGGAGCUCCCCGGGAAAGACCUUACCGGAAGCUGCGACCCUUACGUCGAAGUCAAGCUCGGUAACUACAAAGGCACCACGCGUCACUUCGAGAAGAAGUCAAACCCGGAGUGGAACCAAGUCUUCGCCUUCUCCAAAGACAGGAUCCAAGCCUCGUUCCUCGAAGCCACG